AAUUGCGGGUUACAAUCUCUAUUUCAAUCCUCUGAUUCUUCUCUCUAGAAUAAUAUUAAUUAUAUUUGUUUGACUUUGAAUUUCGGAGUCGGGUCGUUGACUUGAUCUUCUCCGGAUUUGAUUUUGGAUUUGAAUAACGUUUUCCAAGGGUCUUGCGACUUGAAUCUCGGAUCGAACGUUGAACUUUGAUUGAAUUUGACUUGAAGAUCUUGAAAUUCUUGAUGGAUUUGGCCCUUCAAUCUUCCAAUGAUCUUGACUUGAAUUGAUUAACGUUAAUCCGAAGGUUUGGCACCGUUAUCUCGGAUCGAACGCCGGAUUUGAUGAAGAACGCCUUGAAUUUGCUCAAGAACACAUUGAAUUUGACGAAGAACACUUUGAAUGUUGAGAGAGAAUCUUACCUCCUACGAAUUCUUCUUCCUUGCUUCUUGAAUUGUAGAGAGAAUUUUUUUGCUCCUACGGUUUCUGCUCC
This 469-nucleotide long non-coding RNA is filed under the name Erythranthe guttata (spotted monkey flower). Its description in RNAcentral is "long non-coding RNA (EGUT_LNC001921)". Lineage: Eukaryota; Viridiplantae; Streptophyta; Magnoliopsida; Lamiales; Phrymaceae. The record is from RNAcentral.